GCUGGGGCUCAGUGGCAGAGUGCUUGCCUAGCACGUGUGAGGCCCUGGGUUCAACUCUCAGCCCUACA
This 68-nucleotide transfer RNA is filed under the name Marmota monax (woodchuck). Its description in RNAcentral is "tRNA.Ala". The record is from RNAcentral. Lineage: Eukaryota; Metazoa; Chordata; Mammalia; Rodentia; Sciuridae.